UACGGAGGGGGCGAGCGUUAUUCGGAUUUAUUGGGCGUAAAGGGCGCGCAGGCGGUUUUUUAGGUCGGAUGUGAAAUCCCGCGGCUCAACUGCGGAAGUGCAUUCGAAACCGGAAAACUUGAGUAUGGGAGAGGGAAACGGAAGUCCCGGUGUAGCGGUGAAAUGCGUAGAUAUCGGGAGGAACACCUGUGGCGGGAGCGGUUUCCCGGACCAAUACUGACGCUGAGGCGCGAAGGCGCGGGGAUCAAACAGG
Molecule: ribosomal RNA, 253 nt
Filed under: uncultured bacterium
Lineage: Bacteria
Description: partial 16S ribosomal RNA
Rfam family: Bacterial small subunit ribosomal RNA
Source: RNAcentral